CGCUUCUCUUCGACUCUACGGGCUUUUGUAAGCGAUUUCAUGCCCGAUCAAAGCAUGAAAGUGUAAAUUAUGCUCUAUUUUGUUUUAGAUAGUUGUUAAUUAGGGUUUCCUGAGUUAUGUCAAAGGUGUUAUUUGAUAUGUUUCGCUGAUUCGUUGGGAUUAAUUUUCUGGUUGUGUGGGUGACCCUAUCCGAUUUAUGAUUAUGAGAUAAUGUUGGCUUUAUUGGAUCUCGUACAUGUUUAAAUGAUACAUUCAGGUGUGUUUUCUUAUAAAAGCAUCCUAAAGAUGGAUGAGACUAUGAAGCAAUUUCAGCAAAGCUUGGUUGAGCUUGAAACUGAAAUCGAAGCUGAGCACCUCCUUUUAGCCCGGCAUCAGGUGGUUGAAAAUGAUAAAAUGAGGAAUGGGAACAGGGAAGCACUUACGGCGCUGAGGAGGAGAGCUCGGACAACAAAAACUAGUGUUCCUUCACCCUAUCAGUCGAUCAUGAAGGAUAUUGGGAGGUCUGCAUCAAGGCCUUUGGUGAAGGAGGUAUGUGCAACAUGUGGCAACCAUGACCCAGAUGAGCGCACAUGGAUGAUGUUCCAAGGAACUGAUGUCUUUGCUAGUAUGCCAUUUCAUGCUGCUCACACCAUCUUGGAUGCAGAUCAAGAACGACUUGACUAUGAGGCAAAAAAAUUACAAAGCUAUGUAAAGGAGAAGUCUUUUUUUAUUUCAGAAAAGGGUGCCCUUGCUGACAAAAUUAGUCCUGGUGUGCUCAGAUCUCUGGUAACGUUAACAGAUAAACCAAAAGAACAGGAUUGAGCUUCAUUUUAUCAUUC
This 818-nucleotide unclassified non-coding RNA is filed under the name Hevea brasiliensis (rubber tree). Lineage: Eukaryota; Viridiplantae; Streptophyta; Magnoliopsida; Malpighiales; Euphorbiaceae. The record is from RNAcentral.